Long non-coding RNA from Macrobrachium nipponense, 686 nucleotides. RefSeq lists it as uncharacterized. Lineage: Eukaryota; Metazoa; Arthropoda; Malacostraca; Decapoda; Palaemonidae. The transcript has 4 exons. The record is from RefSeq and is a predicted model, not a curated record.
UUUCACCAGGUGUGAAAGAUUGUCGGCCUCAGUUGUCAAGUGGCAGGUGAUAAGAUCGAGAGAAGAAGCGGCUAUUUCAGUAGACAGUGUUGUCAGUGAAUGCUUAACCUUUUUCAAGGCAAAUUGCGUGCGACGAAGAAAUCAGUCGUUUCGUCAUGAGGGUGAAGGCAAUUCUGUUUACGUUGAUUACUGUCAUUUUCGUGGCAGGAUUCCCAAACAACAUUGGUCGACGAUCCGCGCAUGCUAUGGAGGAACCUCCUCCCCACGCAGACGAAGUAGCUCCCGUAGGAGAGGAUGCCUUUGACAUAGACUCUUACGCUAUCCUGAGGUUGCCAAGAAAAGCAAGAGGAAGAGCCACCUUCGACGUUGAAGUCGACAUUGAUACAAAAUACAAAUCCCAGACUGAUGAAGAUCUACAAGUAUAGCCCAUACGAGAAAGACCUGCUACUCUCGCUGAAGACUUCCCAUAGUAAAAAUCUUAAAACUUCUUUGCUGAAAGAUAUCAUAAGAAUGGAAAAAUCUUUUGCUGUGGACAUUGUCACCUGCAAGUCCAUGAUUAUGGUUACUGCAUGCAAUAUAAACAGCGUGCAUUUUAAAUAAAUUAAGUAUUCAAUCUUAGUCUAUUCUCUGUAGACAGUUUUCUUGAUGAUUUACCCUUCUAAAAGGUUCUUAUAAUGAUUAACUAA